Molecule: ribosomal RNA, 628 nt
Filed under: uncultured Russulaceae
Lineage: Eukaryota; Fungi; Basidiomycota; Agaricomycetes; Russulales; Russulaceae
Description: LSU rRNA
Rfam family: Eukaryotic large subunit ribosomal RNA
Source: RNAcentral
UAAGCGGAGGAAAAGAAACUAACAAGGAUUCCCCUAGUAACUGCGAGUGAAGCGGGAAAAGCUCAAAUUUAAAAUCUGGUGGUCUUUGGCCAUNCGAGUUGUAAUUUAGAGAAGCGUCUUCCGCGCUGGACCGUGCACAAGUCUCCUGGAAUGGAGCGUCAUAGAGGGUGAGAAUCCCGUCUUUGGCAUGGACACACCAGGGCUUUUGUGAUGCGCUCUCGAAGAGUCGAGUUGUUUGGGAAUGCAGCUCAAAAUGGGUGGUGAACUCCAUCUAAAGCUAAGUAUUGGCGAGAGACCGAUAGCGAACAAGUACCGUGAGGGAAAGAUGAAAAGCACUUUGGAGAGAGAGUGAAACAGUACGCGAAAUUGUUGAAAGGGAAACGCUUGAAGUCAGUCACGUCGACCGAGACUCAGCCUUGCCUCGGCUUGGUGUACUUCUCGGCUGACGGGUCAGCAUCAAUUUUGCCCCUUGGAUAAUGGCGAGGGAAAUGUGACACCUUUAUGGUGUGUUAUAGUCUCUCGUCGCAUGCAAGGGUUGGGAUUGAGGAACUCAGCACGCGCCCUUUGGGUGUCGGGGCUUUGCCCACGAUACGUGCUUAGGAUGUUGGCAUAAUGGCUUUAAACGACC